Pyrus x bretschneideri (Chinese white pear) is the source of this 443-nucleotide long non-coding RNA. RefSeq lists it as uncharacterized. The record is from RefSeq and is a predicted model, not a curated record. The transcript is spliced from 2 exons. NCBI's taxonomy places the organism in Eukaryota, Viridiplantae, Streptophyta, Magnoliopsida, Rosales, Rosaceae.
GUGGGACCUCCAAAUUGAGUUCUGAAAAUUGUCACGCGUUCGUGACGUCGUGUAGAUCACCGUGGUAUAUUCACAUACCCAAAUAGAGCAACGUAUGAGAAAGUUAUUGACGAAUGUUUGGUGUAUGCGCGUUAAAUAAUGUCAAUUUGGUUACUUUUUGUAUAGGUGAAAAUUAUACAGAAGAAGAAUGUAACCAAUCUAGGGGAGGCUCAGGGACCCACGAGACGUCGAUGUGAUCUGUUCAAGAAUUGCAAAGGUGUGGUAACUACGAGGAAAUUCAACGGUGUUCUGACAGAAUGGACCGAAUGAGAACUCACUUUCGGGUGGUUCAUCUUAGAAGUUGUAUAUUUGUAAAGCUUCCGAACUGUGUAAAUGGUUACGUCACUCUCACGUGACGGCCAGCAUGCCCUCCUUCGGGACGAGGUGUGUCAAAAAAUAAAUAA